This is a non-coding RNA of Oesophagostomum dentatum (nodular worm), 107 nucleotides long. The record is from Rfam. NCBI's taxonomy places the organism in Eukaryota, Metazoa, Nematoda, Chromadorea, Rhabditida, Strongylidae.
GGUUUUAACCCAGUAUCACAAGGUACUAAGGGUGUCUGACCUGCCUGUUGGCUGAGUCACAAACCUUAAUUUUUGGAUCGCUUUUCCGGGGUAUCCGGAAGGGCAGC